CCUACGGGAGGCAGCAGUAGGGAAUCUUCCACAAUGUACGAAAGUCUGAUGGAGCAACGCCGCGUGAGUGAAGAAGGGUUUCGGCUCGUAAAGCUCUGUUGGUAGUGAAGAAAGAUAGAGGUAGUAACUGGCCUUUAUUUGACGGUAAUUACUUAGAAAGUCACGGCUAACUACGUGCCAGCAGCCGCGGUAAUACGUAGUUGGCAAGCGUUUUCCGGAUUUUUUGGGCGUAAAGCGAGUGCCUGCGGUUCAAUAAGUCUGAUGUGAAAGGCUUCGGAUCAACCGGAGAAUUGCAUCAGAAACUGUUGAACUUGAGUGCAGAAGAGGAGAGUGGAACGCCAUGUGUAGCGGUGGAAUGCGUAGACAUAUGGAAGAACACCAGUGGCGAAGGCGGCUCUCUGGUCUGCAACUGACGCUGAGGCUCGAAAGCAUGGGUAGCGAACAGGAUUAGAUACCCUUGUAGUC
This 465-nucleotide ribosomal RNA is filed under the name uncultured bacterium. RNAcentral describes it as "partial 16S ribosomal RNA". It matches the Rfam family "Bacterial small subunit ribosomal RNA", at positions 338 to 795 of the family's 1533-position model. The record is from RNAcentral.